RNAcentral lists this unclassified non-coding RNA (212 nucleotides) under soil metagenome. RNAcentral describes it as "partial contains 5.8S ribosomal RNA, internal transcribed spacer 2, and large subunit ribosomal RNA". The record is from RNAcentral.
AACGCACGAGACCUGCGGACCUGCGGAAGGAUCAUUAUCGCAUGCGGCAAUGCGAUUGCGGCGCAGGCGACUCAGCUGCGCAGAGUCGUGAAGCACAGCUCAGAGUCGUGCAGCGGCAAAGCGAGCAGUCGUCGGCAGCAAUCGGCCACAUUAGCGCUUGUCGAGUUUGGCUGUUUGUGAGGGCAAAAGACAACUUUCAGCAAUGGAUCUCU